This 230-nucleotide ribosomal RNA is filed under the name uncultured bacterium. RNAcentral describes it as "partial 16S ribosomal RNA". It matches the Rfam family "Bacterial small subunit ribosomal RNA", at positions 562 to 791 of the family's 1533-position model. The record is from RNAcentral.
AAAGCGUGCGCAGGCGGUUUUGUAAGACAGGCGUGAAAUCCCCGAGCUCAACUUGGGAAUGGCGCUUGUGACUGCAAGGCUAGAGUAUGUCAGAGGGGGGUAGAAUUCCACGUGUAGCAGUGAAAUGCGUAGAGAUGUGGAGGAAUACCGAUGGCGAAGGCAGCCCCCUGGGACGUCACUGACGCUCAUGCACGAAAGCGUGGGGAGCAAACAGGAUUAGAUACCCCGGU